GGGCCCGCACAAGCGGUGGAGCAUGUGGUUUAAUUCGAUGCAACGCGAAAAACCUUACCUAUACUUGACAUACUUGGAAUGCUUUGUAAUGAAGCAGUGCCUUCGGGAACCAAGAUACAGGUGCUGCAUGGCUGUCGUCAGCUCGUGUCGUGAGAUGUUCCGUUAAGUCGGAUAACGAGCGCAACCCUUACCCUUAUUUGCCAGCGAUUCGGUCGGGAACUAUAAGGGGACUGCCGGUGAUAAACCGGAGGAAGGUGAGGACGACGUCAAGUCAUCAUGGCCCUUACGUAUAGGGCUACACACGUGCUACAAUGGGGAAUACAGAGGGCAGCUACACAGCGAUGUGAUGCGAAUCUCAAAAAGCCUAUCGUAGUCCAGAUUGGAGUCUGCAACUCGACUCCAUGAAGUAGGAAUCGCUAGUAAUCG
Molecule: ribosomal RNA, 426 nt
Filed under: uncultured bacterium
Lineage: Bacteria
Description: bacterial SSU rRNA
Rfam family: Bacterial small subunit ribosomal RNA
Source: RNAcentral